CAGACCCACCCCCAAGCUGAGUGGGCACCAUCUAAUCAGCUGCCAGCGUGGCUAAAAUAAAGUAGGCAGAAGAAAGUGGAAGGAGAGAGAUUUGCCGUGUCUUCUGCCCUUCAUCUUUCCUCCAUGUUGGAUACUCUUAAGUUCUUCAGCUUUUGGAUUCUUGGACUUACACCAGUGAUUUGCUAGGGGCUCUCGGGCUUUCAGCCAGACUGAAGGCUGCACCAUCAGCUUCCCUAUGUUAGAGGUUUUGAGACUCAGUCUGGAUUCCUUGCUCCUCAGCUUGCAGAUGCCCUAUUGUGGGAUCUCACCUUGUGAUCAUCAGGGUAAAUCUCUAAAAUUCAGAGGUAAAAUGACUGCAAAUCCACCAGACUG
This 372-nucleotide long non-coding RNA is filed under the name Homo sapiens (human). RNAcentral's name for it is "HSALNT0169071". Lineage: Eukaryota; Metazoa; Chordata; Mammalia; Primates; Hominidae. The record is from RNAcentral.